GACCGAAAAAUUAACAAAUCUAGCCCUAGCGUCUCCUUCCUCUCCCUUUUCUCACUGAAGCUCGAGCUCUCAUUUCUUUGUUCACCGGCUCAAUCUUAAGCUCACCAGAGAUUGCCGCUGGAAGGCUUUUCCAGCAAAGAAACCAUUCGACAACGAUAGAGAAGAUCUCCGGCAACGAUUCUUCCUCUCUCGUCCUUGCUUGUAUGAUUGUCGACAAUGAAGAAAUCGAUUAGUUAGUUGAAGUCCAUAUAUUCUCUUUUGUUGUUGGAAGAGUAUUUACAACAGAUAUAGAAAAACUAAAAGUCAGCAGUAGAAAAAGAUCUCUAGAUAUUACUCAAGUUUUUAAAGAUGAAGACAAUUUGAAAUCAAAUUCUUUAAAUUAAUGGCUUGAGAUCAUCCAUAGAAUAUGCAUCACUGGAUAUAAUUCUAUUUGAAGGUCUCUUGACAUUUCCAAUGAUUAGUUCUCAAUUUUGCAAAAUCAUCACGCAUUCAAGAAGCCGAUAAAAAUCUACAAUUGAGGAUUUGUAUCAUCUCAGCCCGUCAAUAUAAUAAUACAUUCUGCCAGUGGCACUCUGCAGCUUUUAGGAGGUGGCAAAAGAAGUAUGUAGAGGAUAGAGUUGCUAUCUAUCAAUCUUAUGUUGGAAAUCACAUUAUUAUAGUUUAGGAGAUAGGUGUAUAGCCUUAAACAGUUGCUUACUGGUUAGUGGUUAUUGAAUCUCAUUCCCUUAGGUUCUCAUCUCGUUGGUGAUUCCUUUGUAUUUUAGUAUAUAAGAUUUUGGGUUUGGCUUUAUAUAGAAGUUAUAGGGAUUACUCAUAUGUCUUCCAUGUCUGCUUCUAUUGUCUUUCCUUGGAGAGACUAGAAAGUUAGGAUUUUUUAUAUGCUUUUGCAGGGUCUUCCAUGUAAUUUAAUUUCAUGACUGGUUUUAAUUUUCAAUAUAAGCAUAUUAUUGAUUUCACUUUAAUAGUAAUAUUAGUUUGCUCUCA
This is a non-coding RNA of Arachis ipaensis, 984 nucleotides long. The record is from RefSeq and is a predicted model, not a curated record. NCBI's taxonomy places the organism in Eukaryota, Viridiplantae, Streptophyta, Magnoliopsida, Fabales, Fabaceae.